GCGAAUAUUUCAUCAUUCAACUUAUAGGGUAUUACUUGGCCAUCAGGAGAGGGAGAUUUUGAGCAGUUUGCAUGUAAAUGAGACUCUGUAUAAGCAGCGUGUUUGGGUCCGUGGCACUCGACCUGAGGAAGAAGAAAUUUUCCAAUUUACCAUGGUUCAGCGUGUUGGCGGGUCUUGGGAUGGCUACUGGCUGACAGAAUCUGUGCUUCACGAUGGCGAUACUUUCUCUGGUGGUGUGGCUUACUGAACUAGUAUCCACAGUAGCUUGGAAAUCAAUGUGGUUUCAUUAUAACUUCACUGCUGUGAGUACGAGUAAUAUACAGUAUAAUUAUAGUUCAGUUGCUUACUAUCUUCGUU
Molecule: unclassified non-coding RNA, 357 nt
Filed under: Hevea brasiliensis (rubber tree)
Lineage: Eukaryota; Viridiplantae; Streptophyta; Magnoliopsida; Malpighiales; Euphorbiaceae
Source: RNAcentral